AUGUGUUUGCCUUGAUAGCACAUAUAUUUAAAAAUUGGAAUAAUACUGAGAAGAUUAGCAUGGCCCCUGCCCAAGGAUGACACACAAAUUUGUGAAGCCUUCCAUGUUUUU
Molecule: small nuclear RNA, 111 nt
Organism: Capra hircus (goat)
Lineage: Eukaryota; Metazoa; Chordata; Mammalia; Artiodactyla; Bovidae
Source: Ensembl